AAAUCUCAACUCUUCCAAUGGUUGUUGCAACUGUUGGCUUUUAGAGCUUGGAUGUGAGGGGUUGUGCCGGCUAAACUCAGUCAUGAGUGGGUGGGCUCCCUUGAAAUGCAUUAGUGCGCAGCUCUGCUAGUUUGCCUCAGGUGUGAUAAUCUAUCUACUCCUUGGUGAACAUGCAUGAAUAAGUGCUUCUAACAGUCUCUUUGCUGAGACAAAUCUUUAUUGAU
Molecule: unclassified non-coding RNA, 224 nt
Filed under: uncultured Pterula
Lineage: Eukaryota; Fungi; Basidiomycota; Agaricomycetes; Agaricales; Pterulaceae
Description: sequence contains ITS2
Source: RNAcentral